This 2726-nucleotide unclassified non-coding RNA is filed under the name Cimex lectularius (bed bug). RNAcentral's name for it is "vacuolar protein sorting-associated protein 41 homolog, transcript variant X2". Lineage: Eukaryota; Metazoa; Arthropoda; Insecta; Hemiptera; Cimicidae. The record is from RNAcentral.
AUCCGUCUCAAAGGAUCCGAAAUUGUAUGAUGCACAUCAUCAAACUCGGUAUACUCUUUUAAUUAAAGUCAAUUAAUUUAACAGCCCCCGCGGUGCCGACAAUUUGGGGUUUUCCAUCUGGGAAUCCUUAUCUGUUAAAUAAGCAAACAAUUUAGUAUAAAUAACAAUGUACAAGCAUAUAAGAAAGUUCUGAUAAGCAUGUCAUGGAUGAUAAUUCGAGCAAUAAGUCUGAUGAGCAUCUGGAAGAGGAUGAAGGGUCGGACCUGGAUGAGAAGGAGCCCAAGCUCAAGUACAUGCGGAUGGGCAAUGGCGUUGAAAACAUCCUGAAAGCAGACUCGGCCUCCUGCGUAGCCAUACAUCCGAAGUUUGUAUGCAUUGGGACUGACUGGGGUUUAAUUUAUUUUCUGGACCAUCAGGGAAAUGUAGUUUUGGACAAAGAACUCCGAGCGCACACUUUAGCUGUCAACCAAAUCAGUAUCGAUGCAAACGGCGAUUAUAUUGCCAGCUGUGCUGAUGACGGGAAAGUUUAUGUCUUCGGUGUUUAUGAUAGUGAUAAUAAUCAGGAAAUUCGUUUAGAAAGACUCGUUCGAUCUGUUGCGAUAGAUCCUUUAUAUGCAAAAGGAGGGUCUUACAGGCGGGUCAUUACAGGAGAUGAGAAACUAGUGCUUCAUGAAAAGGGAUUUUUUUCCCGGAUUAGAUCAACCGUAUUAGGCGACGCUUCUAUCGAAGGCGGUGUUAAAAAUAUAAAAUGGAGCCCGGAUGGAAAGCUCUUGGCUUGGUCGACACAAGUUGGAUUCAGAGUUUAUGACGUCGAUGUUAAAACAUCUCUAGGACUUGUAAAAUGGGCUUCAAAACCCCAAAUAGAUUUAAAAUGCCCCAUGUGCUGGGAAGGAAAUAAUAAUCUAGUCGUUGCUUGGAAUAACACUAUUAAAAUAUGUGCCAUUAAACGAAAAACUACAGCAACACCUUCACAUAUUUCUGCUUUUGUCGUUAUGCCUGUUUACACCAUCCAGAUGGAGUACAUAGUGAGUGGUGUCGGACCGUGGGGCAACAUGCUUGUGGUUCUCGGCUGUACCAAGGAGAUCAACAACUCUGGAUUGGACGGUGAUAGGCCACAGCUCCAAGUCAUCGAGCCGACAUCGAGCGGCUAUGAGGAUCUCAAUUCACAUUUUCUUUCACUCAGGGGCUUUGAAAAAUAUGCCGCUUCCGAUUACAGUUUAGAGUGCCUUCCAGAUGAAGGACAAUUUGUCAUUGUAAGCCCUCGUGAUAUAGUUGUAGCAUGCCCGUACGAUGCUGACGACCGUAUCGACUGGCUUAUCAAUCAUUCUAAGUUUGAAAUGGCUCAAAAAGCCGUCGCAGAUUCUAAAGUGCCUUUUGUCAGGCAUUCGAAAUAUUCAGUGGGUAGAGAGUACAUAGGGUAUCUUUUAAAAAAGCGUGAAUACAAAAAGGCUGCAGACCAGUGUAAAAAUAUUUUAGGUAAUGACAAAAUGAAGUGGGAAAAAGAACUGAGACGGUUUGCUGAACAUCAGGCCGCUCACGCGUUAGCGGAUUACGUACCAAUUUCUCUAGAAUGUCGCCUGCCAAAUCAUUGCUAUGAGCUCAUUCUUUACGAGUAUUUACGUUACGACAAAGAGGGUUUUUUAAAUAAAAUUAAAGCGUGGCCACCUGCGUUAUACGACCCGUCUACAAUGGGAGCAGUAGUGCUGAAAUGUAUCUUUGGGUCUGACUUGAAAAGCAAUCCUACCCUCCUUGAAGCUUUAGCCAUCAUUUAUUCCCACAUGGGAAAUCAUGAUAAGGCACUUUCUAUGUACAUCAAAUUGCAAAACAAUGGAGUAUUUAAUCUGAUUGAACAGCACAAAUUACACAGCAGUAUACACAAGUCGGCGAAAGAUCUCAUGAAAAUGGACGAAAACAAGGCGAUUCGAACAUUUCUACACAGUAAUGUCAAUCCAGAUGAUAUUGUAGAAGCGCUCAAAGACCACAAUUAUUACUGUUUUAAGUACUUAGAUGCCUUGAACAAGCACGACUCGAAAGCUUGUAUAAAAAAUCAUUCAAAACUGGUCAGACUGUAUGCGGACUUUGAGCCGGACAAGCUUUUGAAUUUUCUGAAAAUGAGUGACCAUUACGCUAUCCGAGAAGCGUUGGAUAUAUGCAAAAGUGGAAAAUUGAACGAAGAAAUGGUUUAUUUAUUGGGCCGGAUUGGAAAUACAAAAGAAGCGCUAGAACUUAUUCUUACCAGCAUAGGAGACAUAGAAAGAGCGAUAGAUUUUUGCAAGGAGCAUGACGAUGAAGAACUUUGGGAAGACCUGAUCAGCUUUUCAUUAGACAAGCCGAUGUGCAUAACGAAUCUUCUUCAGAACAUAGGCACAUAUGUCGAUCCGAACAUCCUGCUUCAAAAAAUAGACAACAAACUUCCUAUACCUUCCCUCAAGGAGUCGUUGGUAAAACUGAUGCAGGGGUACAAUCUUCAGGUUCAAGUUCAAGAAGGCUGUAAUGUAAUUUUAGCGAAUGACUCGUUCGCCUUGAGUGAGAAAGUACGGUCAAUUAGGCAAAGAGGAGUUUUGAUUGGUGAUGAUCAACAAUGUGGGUCUUGUCAUAAAAAAGUUAUUUUGAAAAGCACCAAGGUAAUGUGAAAGAAAGUCUUGUAAUAUUCCACUGCAACCACAUUUUUCAUCGAGAUUGCUUACCAGCAUUUAUGGACAAUUGCAAACUGUGCACAAAGACAA